Cynoglossus semilaevis (tongue sole) is the source of this 1708-nucleotide long non-coding RNA. RefSeq lists it as uncharacterized. Lineage: Eukaryota; Metazoa; Chordata; Actinopteri; Pleuronectiformes; Cynoglossidae. The record is from RefSeq and is a predicted model, not a curated record. The transcript is spliced from 5 exons.
GAGAAUUAACAAUCAAGCUACACAGAAGAACUCUUGGAAAGAGACGGCUAUUUAGUAAAGUGGGACUUGAGACAGAGCAGAGAUCUUCAACAGGUCACUGGACUCUUAGAUCAGACGGACAACCAGCAUCCGUUCAUACAAGGCCUCCAUUUGAAUCUACUAUUAGGAUUAAUGGACACGUCACCAAAGGACAAUUGGAAGACUGACAGACAACACAAAGGACUAAAGGACAAGUGACAAUCUUAUUAACGGUGUCUGUUAAAAGCUCCGACUGUAAUCUAAUUUCUUUCCUUACGACCUGUUUCUAUUCCAGCCAUCAUCUGGGUGAAGGCUACACCCUGGACAGUGUCCAUCACAGGGACACAUUUACAGAAGGAACAACAAGCGUUCACACUAACACCAUCUAUUAUUGGACUCAAACAGUUGGCCCUUCAGAGGACAUUGAAAAGCAGCAGAUUUCAUCCUUUUGUUGGUCAUACUGUCACUGCAAACAAUCUGCUGAUGUCUGUCACUAAUGCUCCUGUCUGUCACUGCACAGUCCUUUGUUGUUUUUGUGACUUGUCCUGUCUGUCUUGUCCACUUCCUGCCACCUGUCCCUGUCCUGCUUUGUUUUUCCCCUCCUCUGUGAUUCCCUCCUCCUCACUGAUGUGCUCCACCUGUGUCUCGUCAGCAUUCCCGCCUUAAUUGCCUUCAUAAUCGUUCCCUCCUUCGGUGCCAUUUUGUCCUUGCCAGCCUCCUUGGUCAGGUCACUUUACCAGUGUUUACUGGUGUUAGACCUGUUUUGUCCUGACUCUGUCUUUUUCUAGUCCUGUCCUGAAUCCUACCCGACCAGAAUUUUGAAUCGAAGACAAACAUCUGUUCAACCACUCUGAUAGUGAUCAUUUAAAGGUCCCAGAGACACAACAAAGUCAACACAGGCAAGUCCAGGCAAGUCCACACCCACAGACCCUUUGAACAGCUAUAGAGAAAUAGUUCCAGUGCCACAGCACCACACAGUGGCCACAUUCAGUCAGAAACAAUUGUGCACACUUUCUGCACUGCUAUGCAAAUAUUUAAAUGAGUACAGGAUACUUUUUCAUUUCCUAAUAUUUAAGACACAGGUCUGACAAGUAUGAAAAUAGUACUUGGUUCUUGUUCUUGACAGUACACAGCACUAUUUCAUUGUAAUAUGCCCAGCAGACCAGGUCUGAAGACCGCCCCACGUUAUUGAUUAGAGUCUACAGACCAGAGCUUCGCUGGAGUGCAUCAAGUUUCUUUUUGUCUGCGUCUGACCUGAGCAAAAACACCAGGUUUUCUGGUUUGAGGUCUCGGUGGACAAUGCUCUUGGAGUGGAUGUAGUGCAGUGCGUCACUCAUGUCGGACACCAUCAGUCCCGCCUCCGCCUCGGAAAACUUCCCCCUCUCACUGAUGGCCUCAAACAGAUCUCCUCCGCUCACCAGCUCCAUCACCAGGGAGAAACAUUGAGCCUAACCUCUCGUGCAUGGGUGGUGAAAAGGCGUGUGACCCGCGCUCUGUGCCAGCGAGGAAACCCCAAAGCCUCUGAAAUAUCCAACAGCAGCUGCUCGAAGGAGACCACACCCCUGCGGUUCAACAACACGGUAACCUGAAAGGACGAGAAAAUGAAUUCAGACCACAGGGCCGGACGACGGUGACCAGAUGGGGCCGCUCUGCGCUCUCCUCCGCGUGUCGUGUGUGAAAGAAAGGCAGG